GACGAACGCUGGCGGCGCGCCUAACACAUGCAAGUCGAACGGAGCUGAGAGAAGCUUGCUUUUCUUAGCUUAGUGGCGAACGGGUGAGUAACGCGUGAGUAACCUGCCCUGGAGUGGGGGACAACAGUUGGAAACGACUGCUAAUACCGCAUAAGCCCACGAUCCGGCAUCGGAUUGAGGGAAAAGGAUUUAUUCGCUUCAGGAUGGACUCGCGUCCAAUUAGCUAGUUGGUGAGGUAACGGCCCACCAAGGCGACGAUUGGUAGCCGGACUGAGAGGUUGAACGGCCACAUUGGGACUGAGACACGGCCCAGACUCCUACGGGAGGGAGCAGUGGGGGAUAUUGCACAAUGGGGGAAACCCUGAUGCAGCGACGCCGCGUGGAGGAAGAAGGUUUUCGGAUUGUAAACUCCUGUCGUUAGGGACGAUAAUGGCGGUACCUAACAAGAAAGCACCGGCUAACUACGUG
Molecule: ribosomal RNA, 468 nt
Filed under: uncultured bacterium
Lineage: Bacteria
Description: partial 16S ribosomal RNA
Rfam family: Bacterial small subunit ribosomal RNA
Source: RNAcentral